Molecule: ribosomal RNA, 428 nt
Filed under: uncultured bacterium
Lineage: Bacteria
Description: partial 16S ribosomal RNA
Rfam family: Bacterial small subunit ribosomal RNA
Source: RNAcentral
GUAGGGAAUAUUGGACAAUGGGGGCAACCCUGAUCCAGCGACGCCGCGUGAGUGAUGAAGGCCUUCGGGUCGUAAAGCUCUGUUGCAGGGGAAGAACACAAUGACGGUACCCUGCUAGAAAGGAUCGGCUGACUUCGUGCCAGCAGCCGCGGUAAGACGAGGGAUCCUAGCGUUGUUCGGAAUUAUUGGGCGUAAAGCGGGUGCAGGUGGCUUGGUAAGUCAGAUGUGAAAGCCUGGGGCUUAACCCCAGAAGUGCAUUUGAUACUGCUGAGCUUGAGUGCUGGAGAGGCUAUUAGAAUUCCUGGUGUAGUGGUGAAAUACGUAGAUAUCAGGAGGAAUACCGGAGGCGAAGGCGGAUAGCUGGCCAGACACUGACACUCAGACCCGAAAGCGUGGGGAUCAAACAGGAUUAGAAACCCGAGUAGUCC